Molecule: ribosomal RNA, 292 nt
Filed under: uncultured bacterium
Lineage: Bacteria
Description: partial 16S ribosomal RNA
Rfam family: Bacterial small subunit ribosomal RNA
Source: RNAcentral
GUGACAGCAGCCGCGGUAAUACGAAGGGGGCAAGCGUUGUUCGGAUUUACUGGGCGUAAAGGGCGCGCAGGCGGUUCUUCAAGUCGGGUGUGAAAGCCCCGGGCUCAACCUGGGAACUGCACUCGAGACUGAAGAACUAGAGUUCGGGAGAGGAUGGCGGAAUUCCCAGUGUAGAGGUGAAAUUCGUAGAUAUUGGGAAGAACACCGGUGGCGAAGGCGGCCAUCUGGACCGAGACUGACGCUGAGGCGCGAAAGCGUGGGGAGCAAACAGGAUUAGAUACCCACGUAGUCC